This 1738-nucleotide long non-coding RNA is filed under the name Olea europaea subsp. europaea. The record is from RNAcentral. Lineage: Eukaryota; Viridiplantae; Streptophyta; Magnoliopsida; Lamiales; Oleaceae.
CCAUAUUGGAGAUCUCUCCGGCGACUCCAGGUUCGGCGACCCCAGGUGCGGCGACUCGAGGUCCGACGACUCCAGAUCCGAUAAUGUCCCUUCAUUUUUACAGAUCUUCAAAUUUGGGUGUGUUUUGGUAUUGUGACUGUUUUAUUCUUCUGAAUUAUGAAGGAAACUGACUUCUUCUCGAUGAGGACUAGUAAUGUCUCUUUAUUUAUGCUAUUACAUUAUAAAUAAUUUCAAUGUGAAGUAAAAAUAAAUUAACUGCCUGCAAAAUAAAUUUGGAGUAAAAUCAAUUAAGUCUCGGAAUGUUUACAGGCUUCCAUAUUGUAGAAUGACUUCGUUUCUAUUGGGGCUUGUCUUCUUCAGGGGUUAAGGAUUUGGACGGGGUUGAAUAAUCCAGCUUUGUAAAUGCCUCCUAGUGGGAACUCUAGCGUUUAUCGGAGUUGAUUUUCAACAACCAGUUUUCUAUAUCAAAUGAUUAUCAUCAACUGUGAGAAAAAUAAUAAUAGACGGUAAUGUCCCUUCAUUUGAAGCAAAAUGUCGUCAAAUUUGCUUAAUAAACAGGUAUUGUGACGAUGGUAGCAAGUAUAAUUUAAGUAGUAAAAGAUUUAUUUAUAGCAAGUAUGAGUAACUCUUAUUUGCAAAUGGGAUAACAGAGAUCACUCGUCAGACCUUAGAAGAAAACAGAAAACUUGAUAUAUAUUCUCUGAUGAACACACAUCUAAGGAUUACAUUACAUUUCAUGCAUUUGCUAGUAGCAGUAGAUGGAAAUUGCAUUACCAGUGGUGGAUCCACGAUUUGAACUCAUUGGGCAUCUAAUUUAAUUUCGGAUUUAUAUUUUUUAUGAUGUUAUUUUUUUUUUUUUUUUUUUUUGCCAAUUCGAACAUUAUUAUGAUGUGAUUUUUUUUUUUCUUAUAUUAGAAUUCUUCAAUGGCCGGAAGAAAUAAGGGGAUAUGUCAUUCAUGUAGACGGGCAGGAUACAUGUUGCCAGAUUGCCCCGGAAAGAGAAGAUGUCCAAACUGUGGCCAAGGCUAUGUUAAAUGGAUGGAGGUGGAAAAGCAAAGCGAUAACAAAGGGCGUUUGUUCCAUUGUUGUACCCGUGAUAUCUGUCGAUUUUUCGAUUGGAAUAAAUCUCCUCCUGCCGCAGUAUAUCCCUUGCAAGGUGAAGGUCAAUCGAGCGGCGCCUCCAAUGGUAGUGAAAUCGUUGAUGAUUUGUCACGUAUGUUGGAAACGUGUGCUAACAUAGCCAAGAAAAAAGACAUUGAGAUCUCUCUCAACAUCAUAACAAUUCAUAAGGGAAAACGGGAUUCGGAAGAUGUUCUAUGAACUUGGAUUUAAUGGGAUGGUUUAGGAAUAUUUAAUCUUCGGUGUGAUGCGUUAACUAUUGAUUUUGUAAAAAUUUGAAGACAACUUGGAUCCAUGAAUUUCAGUCGGUUUUAAAUUUCCUUUUAUGAGCAUUAUGUUUAGGACAUGUUUUACUAAUGUGCUGUUGAGUUUAAAUGUUAAUGUGAAUGGAGUGUGUUUGGUGCUAUACAUGUUUGGUGUUAAACAUGAAUCAAGUUAUAGUUUAAACAAUCACUUUUAUAUCCUCUUAAAAUCAAUAAUUUUCACCUGUCUAUUUGCCUAUUUAUCCAUUCUGUCAACAUGUAGUAGUAAUUCCGUGUAUGUUACUUCCUAGAAUCGAUGGAAGAAUAAUAGUCAGUUGUAUUUGGAUACAAGUUUCUAAGGCUUGUCUUAAUUCUUG